This 248-nucleotide ribosomal RNA is filed under the name uncultured bacterium. RNAcentral describes it as "partial 16S ribosomal RNA". It matches the Rfam family "Bacterial small subunit ribosomal RNA", at positions 524 to 776 of the family's 1533-position model. The record is from RNAcentral.
UACGAGAGGUGCGUGUGUUGUUCCUAAGUACUGGGCGUUAAGGGUAUGUAGGUUGUAAUUUAAGUUAGAGUAUUAUGUAAUGAAUCAUUUUCUCUAAUACUAUUUUACUUGAAUAAUAAAUAAAAUAAUCUAUGGAACUGUUAGUCUAAGGUUUAAAUCUAUUGGUAGAUAAGCAGGAAUGCCGAAAGCGAAAGCAAAUAUUUGUUUAUUAUUGACACUAAGAUACGAAGGUAUGGGGAUCAAAUGGG